RNAcentral lists this long non-coding RNA (421 nucleotides) under Vigna radiata. RNAcentral's name for it is "long non-coding RNA (VRAD_LNC007240)". The record is from RNAcentral. Lineage: Eukaryota; Viridiplantae; Streptophyta; Magnoliopsida; Fabales; Fabaceae.
GCAUAAAUACUUGGAACAGGGGCGGCGAAAAAGCUUGGUGCGAAAAAGGGGAAUGGCAGCGGAGAGGAAUGACAAGCGUUUCAAACGAUUUUGAUCGGCUAAAACUGUUUCUUAUCGUCAAAAAUGUGAAAUGACCGAACAAUUUUGAGUUUAAACGGUGAAGAAACAAGGGAACUGAGAGGGGUGAUUGGCGGGAGAAGAAAGUCGAAGUCCAGCAGCGUCUGCGCGAAGAAGACGAUACUGUUCCAAAGUUUUAUUUUUUAACUGUGAUAGGGGAAUCUACCGCGGUUAAGUAAUUAACCGCGGUAUAUUAUGGUUAUAUGUCGCGGUUUCACAACCAACCGCGGCCUAUACUCAUUAAAAAAAUAACCUAAAUGCCAUUUUUGAAAAUUAUUUUUGCACUAUAUACCGCGGUUGCCCG